RNAcentral lists this ribosomal RNA (301 nucleotides) under uncultured bacterium. Its description in RNAcentral is "partial 16S ribosomal RNA". It matches the Rfam family "Bacterial small subunit ribosomal RNA", at positions 509 to 809 of the family's 1533-position model. The record is from RNAcentral.
CAGUCGCCGCGGUAAUACGUAGGGUGCGAGCGUUAAUCGGAAUUACUGGGCGUAAAGCGUGCGCAGGCGGUUCGUUAAGACAGAUGUGAAAUCCCCGGGCUUAACCUGGGAACUGCAUUUGUGACUGGCGAGCUAGAGUAUGGCAGAGGGGGGUAGAAUUCCACGUGUAGCAGUGAAAUGCGUAGAGAUGUGGAGGAAUACCGAUGGCGAAGGCAGCCCCCUGGGCCAAUACUGACGCUCAUGCACGAAAGCGUGGGGAGCAAACAGGAUUAGAUACCCCAGUAGUCCCUGUCUCUUAUAU